RNAcentral lists this ribosomal RNA (391 nucleotides) under uncultured bacterium. Its description in RNAcentral is "bacterial SSU rRNA". It matches the Rfam family "Bacterial small subunit ribosomal RNA", at positions 30 to 417 of the family's 1533-position model. The record is from RNAcentral.
AUUGAACGCUGGCGGCAGGCUUAACACAUGCAAGUCGAGCGGAAACGGAGGUAGCUUGCUACCAGACGUCGAGCGGCGAACGGGUGAGUAACGCGUAGGAAUCUACCUAGUAGAGGGGGAUAGCCCGGGGAAACUCGGAUUAAUACCGCAUACGCCCUAAGGGGGAAAGCAGGGGAUCUUCGGACCUUGCGCUAUUAGAUGAGCCUGCGUCGGAUUAGCUAGUUGGUAAGGUAAAGGCUUACCAAGGCGACGAUCCGUAGCUGGUCUGAGAGGAUGAUCAGCCACACUGGAACUGAGACACGGUCCAGACUCCUACGGGAGGCAGCAGUGGGGAAUAUUGGACAAUGGGGGCAACCCUGAUCCAGCCAUGCCGCGUGUGUGAAGAAGGCCU